RNAcentral lists this ribosomal RNA (253 nucleotides) under uncultured bacterium. RNAcentral's name for it is "partial 16S ribosomal RNA". It matches the Rfam family "Bacterial small subunit ribosomal RNA", at positions 524 to 776 of the family's 1533-position model. The record is from RNAcentral.
UACGUAGGGGGCUAGCGUUGUCCGGAUUUAUUGGGCGUAAAGAGCGUGUAGGCGGCCAGGUAGGACUGCUGUGAAAACUCGAGGCUCAACCUCGAGACGUCGGCGGAAACCAUCUGGCUAGAGUCCGGAAGAGGAGAGUGGAAUUCCUGGUGUAGCGGUGAAAUGCGCAGAUAUCAGGAGGAACACCUGUGGCGAAAGCGGCUCACUGGACCACAACUGACGCUGAGGCGCGAAAGCUAGGGGAGCAAACAGG